GACGAACGCUGGCGGCGUGCCUAACACAUGCAAGUUGAGCGCUGAAGGUUGGUACUUGUACCAACUGGAUGAGCAGCGAACGGGUGAGUAACGCGUGGGGAAUCUGCCUUUGAGCGGGGGACAACAUUUGGAAACGAAUGCUAAUACCGCAUAAAAACUUUAAACACAAGUUUUAAGUUUGAAAGAUGCAAUUGCAUCACUCAAAGAUGAUCCCGCGUUGUAUUAGCUAGUUGGUGAGGUAAAGGCUCACCAAGGCGAUGAUACAUAGCCGACCUGAGAGGGUGAUCGGCCACAUUGGGACUGAGACACAGCCCAAACUCCUACGGGAGGCAGCAGUAGGGAAUCUUCGGCAAUGGACGAAAGUCUGACCGAGCAACGCCGCGUGAGUGAAGAAGGUUUUCGGAUCGUAAAACUCUGUUGGUAGAGAAGAACGUUGGUGAGAGUGGAAAGCUCAUCAAGUGACGGUAACUACCCAGAAAGGGACGGCUAACUACGUG
Molecule: ribosomal RNA, 497 nt
Filed under: uncultured bacterium
Lineage: Bacteria
Description: partial 16S ribosomal RNA
Rfam family: Bacterial small subunit ribosomal RNA
Source: RNAcentral